GAUGAACGCUGGCGGCGUGCCUAAUACAUGCAAGUCGAGCGAACGGACGAGAAGCUUGCUUCUCUGAUGUUAACGGCGGACGUGUGAGUAACACGUGGAUAACCUACCUAUAAGACUGGGCUAACUUCGGGAAACCGGAGCUAAUACCGGAUAAUCUUUUGAACCGCAUGGUUCAAAAGUGAAAGACGGUCUUGCUGUCACUUAUAGAUGGAUCCGCGCUGCAUUAGCUAGUUGGUAAGGUAACGGCUUACCAAGGCAACGAUGCAUAGCCGACCUUAGAGGGUGAUCGGCCACACUAGAACUGAGACACGGUGCAGACUCCUACGGGAGGCAGAAGUAGGGAAUCUUCCGCAAUGGGCGAAAGCCUGACGGAGCAACGCCGCGUGAGUGAUGAAGGUCUUCGGAUCGUAAAACUCUGUUAUUAGGGAAGAACAUAUGUGUAAGUAACUGUGCACAUCUUGACGGUACCUAAUCAGAAAGCCACGGCUAAAUACGUG
This 497-nucleotide ribosomal RNA is filed under the name uncultured bacterium. RNAcentral's name for it is "partial 16S ribosomal RNA". It matches the Rfam family "Bacterial small subunit ribosomal RNA", at positions 28 to 507 of the family's 1533-position model. The record is from RNAcentral.